This is an RNA transcript of Phoenix dactylifera (date palm), 466 nucleotides long. It is a transcript of the gene named ylmG homolog protein 1-1, chloroplastic pseudogene, with no coding region annotated. The record is from RefSeq and is a predicted model, not a curated record. NCBI's taxonomy places the organism in Eukaryota, Viridiplantae, Streptophyta, Magnoliopsida, Arecales, Arecaceae.
UUUGCCUUGGGAACUCUUGGUUUCGAUUCUUAACAACACCGAGGGAUGUAUUGAAGGAGCGGCGGCAAAGAAGGAAAAUGGUGAUGAUUGGUGUUAUCGUUCUCGCUUGCUGUUCUUUGCUGGUGAUCUAUGAUGCAGUUGCAAGGAGAACGAAAAAGGAAGAAAAAGGUGGCGAUUUACAGGUGGAAUGGUCCACACGCCUUUAUUUUCAUGUCUCAUUUUGAACAAGUUUGAUGCUAGAUGUUUCUGUAAUGUAGAUUGAAAUUAUAUUGCAGACGAAAUAGAGACAAUAGGUUAUAGUAGAAAUAACUGUGUAAUCUUUGCUUGUUUGACGUACUAUAGUUCUAUCUGGAAAAGUUUAGACUUCUCCAGCAUUAUUCUGAUACUUCGAAAAUAAGGGAAAGAAUACUUAUUGACAUGCUCGUGGUUACAAAGUCAAGAAUGUGAUUUGUUUGGUUUUCCAAAU